RNAcentral lists this RNase P RNA (338 nucleotides) under Oscillospiraceae bacterium. RNAcentral describes it as "RNase P RNA component class A". It matches the Rfam family "Bacterial RNase P class A". From Rfam's summary of the family: Ribonuclease P (RNase P) is a ubiquitous endoribonuclease, found in archaea, bacteria and eukarya as well as chloroplasts and mitochondria. Its best characterised activity is the generation of mature 5'-ends of tRNAs by cleaving the 5'-leader elements of precursor-tRNAs. Cellular RNase Ps are ribonucleoproteins. The record is from RNAcentral. Lineage: Bacteria; Bacillati; Bacillota; Clostridia; Eubacteriales; Oscillospiraceae.
AGAGCAGGCUGGACAGCCGCGUAAAUCAUGAGAUUUAUGAGGAAAGUCCGAGCUCCACAGGGCGGGAUAACGGCUAACGGCCGCCGAGGGCGACCUUAGGGAAAGUGCAACAGAGAUAUACCGCCGGAAUUUUUCCGGCAAGGGUGGAAAGGUGAGGUAAGAGCUCACCGGCACACGGGAGACCGCGUGGCCCUGCAAACCCUAUCCGGUGCAACACCGACAGGGAACUAUACGCCUGCCCGGCGUGUUUCCGACGGGUGGCUUGAGCCGUGGGGCAACCUGCGGCCCAGAUAGAUGGCUGUCUAUAACAGAACUCGGCUUACAGGCCUGCUCUAACU